CAGCAGCCGCGGUAAUACGUAGGUGGCAAGCGUUGUCCGGAAUUAUUGGGCGUAAAGGGCUCGCAGGCGGUUUCUUAAGCCUGAUGUGAAAGCCCCCGGCUCAACCGGGGAGGGUCAUUGGAAACUGGGAAACUUGAGUGCAGAAGAGGAGAAUGGAAUUCCACGUGUAGCGGUGAAAUGCGUAGAGAUGUGGAGGAACACCAGUGGCGAAGGCGACUCUCUGGUCUGUAACUGACGCUGAGGAGCGAAAGCGUGGGGAGCGAACAGGAUUAGAUACCCGUGUAGUCCCUGUCUCUUAUAC
RNAcentral lists this ribosomal RNA (301 nucleotides) under uncultured bacterium. RNAcentral describes it as "partial 16S ribosomal RNA". It matches the Rfam family "Bacterial small subunit ribosomal RNA", at positions 509 to 807 of the family's 1533-position model. The record is from RNAcentral.